CGACCGGCGCACGGGUGAGUAACGCGUAUACAAUUUACCUUAUACAGGAGGAUAGCCUUUAGAAAUGAAGAUUAAUACUCCAUGGCAUUAUGAUAUGGCAUCAUAUUAUAAUUAAAGAUUUAUCGGUAUAAGAUGAGUAUGCGUCCUAUUAGUUAGUUGGUAAGGUAAUGGCUUACCAAGACUUCGAUAGGUAGGGGUCCUGAGAGGGAGACCCCCCACACUGGUACUGAGACACGGACCAG
Molecule: ribosomal RNA, 242 nt
Filed under: uncultured bacterium
Lineage: Bacteria
Description: partial 16S ribosomal RNA
Rfam family: Bacterial small subunit ribosomal RNA
Source: RNAcentral